UCAGAUAACUCUCUCUAGUGUGUGU
RNAcentral lists this non-coding RNA (25 nucleotides) under Mus musculus (house mouse). Lineage: Eukaryota; Metazoa; Chordata; Mammalia; Rodentia; Muridae. The record is from RNAcentral.